RNAcentral lists this ribosomal RNA (274 nucleotides) under Diversispora epigaea. Lineage: Eukaryota; Fungi; Glomeromycota; Glomeromycetes; Diversisporales; Diversisporaceae. The record is from RNAcentral.
CAGUCGCGUUGGCUUGGAAUCAGCCUUGCUUUUGCUUGGUGUACUUCCUUGUUAACGGGUCAGCAUCAAUUUUGACCGUUGGAGAAAGGCUUUGGGAAUGUGGCACCUUAGGGUGUGUUAUAGCCCUUUGUUGUAUACAACGGUUGGGAUUGAGGACUGCAGCAUGCCUUCAUGGCCGGGGUUACCCCACGUACAUGCUUAGGAUGCUGGCAUAAUGGCUUUAAGCGACCCGUUUGAAACACGGACCAAGGAGUCUAACAUAUGUGCGAGUGUU